This is a non-coding RNA of Callorhinchus milii (elephant shark), 69 nucleotides long. The record is from Ensembl. Lineage: Eukaryota; Metazoa; Chordata; Chondrichthyes; Chimaeriformes; Callorhinchidae.
ACAGAUAUAGUUUAACCAAAACAAUAAAUUGUGGUUUUAUAAAUAAAAGUUAAAAUCUUUUUACCUGUC